RNAcentral lists this unclassified non-coding RNA (242 nucleotides) under Halochlorella rubescens. RNAcentral's name for it is "partial internal transcribed spacer 2". Lineage: Eukaryota; Viridiplantae; Chlorophyta; Chlorophyceae; Chlamydomonadales; Asteromonadaceae. The record is from RNAcentral.
UACACCCUCACCCCUCCCAACUUGUUGGGUGUGCUUGCUUUAUUGGCAAGCCGUUGGGGUGGAUCUGGCUUCCCCAAUCAGCCAUCAGGCAGAUUGGGUUGGCUGAAGUGCAGAGGCUUAAGCAAGGACCCGAUAUGGGCUUCAACUGGAUAGGUAGCACCGGCUUCUGCCGACUACACGAAGUUGUUGCUUGUGGCUCUUGCUAGAGGCCAAGCAGGAACGUGCCUUUGGCAUGUCUAAAC